UAGACAUCGUAGAUAUUGUAAACUACAUACGUAUUUUUUCGAAUGUUUGGUAUUCAGGACUGAAGAAUAUUACCAAGUUGCAAAAUUGCGUUAUGUCAUCAAGCCAUAGGCACAUUUCCGAGCAAGUCGCAGUGCGCCAUUAUGACGUCACGUGCUGGCGUGAUACAAAUAAAUUGCAAUCCAGCUACGAUUGAAAAAUUGAACACAGGGAAAUUACUUACUCUUAGUGGCAUACCAAUAUCUUCAGGAAGUUUUUUAUGUUUUUCUCAAAAUCGAUAAAAUAGACUCACGCACUUUUGUUAUUAGCGUGACGAUAUGCUGUAUGUCAGGGAUUGCGAACCUUUUUGAAAGGAGGGGUCAAAAAUAUUUACAUGAUGGAGAAGAGACACGGGUUCCAGAGAUAUUUAAACAAUGUCUGCAUCAACAAACACUUUAUGUUGCAUCUUUACAGCAAUUCUUAUAAUCCUUGGUUAUGCAAAUAAAUCUUACCUGCUUAACCUCAGCAUGAAGAUUGAAAAGUGGUUACGUUUCGUGUCACAGCGUUUUCAUCAUGAAGAAUAGAACAUUAUGCAGGCCUGAACUUGAUCUCAUAUUUGGAUUUCUUCAAGGUUAUCGUGAGGCACGUAGCUGUGCUUAACGAUAUUAUUUCUACAGUUCUUCAAGGAGUAUUACACGAUUAUUUAAUUUUUGGAACCCCGCGUUAUUGCAAGUAGCAUCGACAAUAAAUAAACAUUUUAAUUAUUAAA
Molecule: non-coding RNA, 746 nt
Organism: Styela clava
Lineage: Eukaryota; Metazoa; Chordata; Ascidiacea; Stolidobranchia; Styelidae
Source: RefSeq, a predicted model, not a curated record